This 446-nucleotide long non-coding RNA is filed under the name Homo sapiens (human). Its description in RNAcentral is "novel transcript". The record is from RNAcentral. Lineage: Eukaryota; Metazoa; Chordata; Mammalia; Primates; Hominidae.
AUUCACUUACCUGCUCUGAUAAAUUCUGCUGCCAUCCUGAGAGCUGCACCACGGAGAGGCCCACAUGGCAAGGAACUGAGGGCUACCUUUACUGUAGCCUGUGAGAGACCAUGGGCCAAGGGAUCCAGGACAUCUUCUACAGUAGUGGUAAUCCUCCAUAUUUCAGCUGACACCUCUAUGUGAGCUGUGGUCAUCUUAGUGUCGAGAGAGUCCCCUCUGCCCACAUGAAAACCAGUCAGAGACGAGCUGUUUUGAAUCAAGUCUCCUGCUCUUGUAGACUUUUAGUUUGACCUUGGAAUGUUCAAGCAGACCUCUGCAUUUAAUCCAAGAUUGAGGCAAGUUUUCUCUCUGCCUAGGUUUAUCUUGUCUGUCUGUGAACAAAAGAGAGGAUAGCAAAGUACCUUGUUUGGAUUUGUCUAUAAAUGUGACCUUCCUAAACUGGCUAA